UCCGCCUAAAAUAAAUAAUAACUUUUGUACAACAGAUACACGUGGAAGAAGGGACAAGGGAAAUGAAAGCGGUUCCUUCGUCGAGUGUAUUGAUUUAUGAGUCAAAUUUAUGUGAUGGCCAGCACCAAAUGGCGUUUCCAAAUUGGAAAUUUUACAUGUUGUAGCUAAUAUAGGAGGUAUUUAAAUAUAAUAACUACACUUAAAAUAAAUUACAAUUAGUAUCUAUAUGGUGUAUUUCAAUUGCCCCUCAUAGCUAUGUUGUAUUCAAGUAUGCAAAAACUCAUAUUUCAAAAGAUACGAAGACGUCUUCCUCUCCCCUCCAUCAUCUUUGGCUGCCAUCGUAGAUCCAUGAUCACCAUAUUUGGGCUAAGCAUUCUAAAAGCUUCAAUAGCUUCAGGGCACUGAAGCGCAACUUCUUCACCUUCGUUGAGUGAUUUUCGAGCGAGAUUAGCUUUUGAGAGAACUUCUUCACCCACGUUCGACCUGAUUCUGGCAACAUGCUUCUUCUUCAGGUUGUUUCUCUUUGGGUCCAAAAGCUUCGAGAAAUACGUCAUCAUAACCAACUGGGAGAGAAGGGUUAGAGGGAUUGGAGAAAGAAAGAGAAGUGAAUUUAGAAGAAUGGGGUUUGAGAAAAGGGUAAGAGUGGAAGGGUUAGAGGGCUUGGAGGGAUUAAAGAAAGAAAGAAAGAGAAGUGAAUUUAGAAAAAUAGGGUUUAAGGAGGGUUUUAGGAGAUGUGAAUGUGAAGAAGAAAGAAUUACUUUGAAGAGUUUACUUUUUCGAAGGGAUAACAGGAGAUUGGAAUUCAUGGCUUCUUCUCCUUUUUGUAUCUCAGCUUUGAGUGUAUUUGUUUAAAUUUUAGAGGAACUUUUACAUCUUUGGCCGGGAUCCAUGGCUUCUUCUCCUUCUUCUAUCUCAGAUUUGAGUGUAUUCCUCAAUUUUUAAGUGUAAAUAUAAGGUAUGAAUUUGACUGACUAUAUUUUUUGGGCAAACUAGAUGUAUUCUUAAAUGGAUUUGAGUGUA
Lycium ferocissimum is the source of this 1020-nucleotide long non-coding RNA. RefSeq lists it as uncharacterized. Lineage: Eukaryota; Viridiplantae; Streptophyta; Magnoliopsida; Solanales; Solanaceae. The record is from RefSeq and is a predicted model, not a curated record. The transcript has 2 exons.